CAAGAAUGUUGUGGAGAUGGAAAAAAGGAAUAGCUGAUGACAUGAAGCAGGAAGAAAGAGGGCCUAAAGUAACGCUAUACAGAAUGAGACACAAGAUGGGAAGACCUGAAAGGUCAUACAGGCAUGCCUUUCCCAUCCUUUGGUUGUCAGGCUACAGGAGUUGGCAGCUUCACUGAGCACCGGCUCCUGCUGCUUAUAAUGAAUGAGAGAGACUGAAGGAAAAUUCACGCAGUGAGGUCAGGAAUAAGAGAAAGACAUAAAAAGUCUUGAAUAUGGCAUUGAUCAUGGUUGCAGAUGAUAUCCAAUGCAUUGGAAUGGUGGCGCUACAUCCAUCAUGGCUCUUCUUGAUCUUGCAGGAGUCUUUGAUAUUAUCAAUCAUACUGUAGUACAUUUCUAGACUGAUUGGAAGCAUA
Molecule: long non-coding RNA, 413 nt
Organism: Pantherophis guttatus
Lineage: Eukaryota; Metazoa; Chordata; Lepidosauria; Squamata; Colubridae
Source: RefSeq, a predicted model, not a curated record